Molecule: ribosomal RNA, 1395 nt
Filed under: Pediococcus pentosaceus
Lineage: Bacteria; Bacillati; Bacillota; Bacilli; Lactobacillales; Lactobacillaceae
Description: bacterial SSU rRNA
Rfam family: Bacterial small subunit ribosomal RNA
Source: RNAcentral
CAGUCGAACGAACUUCCGUUAUUGAUUAUGACGUACUUGUACUGAUUGAGAUUUUAACACGAAGUGAGUGGCGAACGGGUGAGUAACACGUGGGUAACCUGCCCAGAAGUAGGGGAUAACACCUGGAAACAGAUGCUAAUACCGUAUAACAGAGAAAACCGCAUGGUUUUCUUUUAAAAGAUGGCUCUGCUAUCACUUCUGGAUGGACCCGCGGCGUAUUAGCUAGUUGGUGAGGUAAAGGCUCACCAAGGCAGUGAUACGUAGCCGACCUGAGAGGGUAAUCGGCCACAUUGGGACUGAGACACGGCCCAGACUCCUACGGGAGGCAGCAGUAGGGAAUCUUCCACAAUGGACGCAAGUCUGAUGGAGCAACGCCGCGUGAGUGAAGAAGGGUUUCGGCUCGUAAAGCUCUGUUGUUAAAGAAGAACGUGGGUAAGAGUAACUGUUUACCCAGUGACGGUAUUUAACCAGAAAGCCACGGCUAACUACGUGCCAGCAGCCGCGGUAAUACGUAGGUGGCAAGCGUUAUCCGGAUUUAUUGGGCGUAAAGCGAGCGCAGGCGGUCUUUUAAGUCUAAUGUGAAAGCCUUCGGCUCAACCGAAGAAGUGCAUUGGAAACUGGGAGACUUGAGUGCAGAAGAGGACAGUGGAACUCCAUGUGUAGCGGUGAAAUGCGUAGAUAUAUGGAAGAACACCAGUGGCGAAGGCGGCUGUCUGGUCUGCAACUGACGCUGAGGCUCGAAAGCAUGGGUAGCGAACAGGAUUAGAUACCCUGGUAGUCCAUGCCGUAAACGAUGAUUACUAAGUGUUGGAGGGUUUCCGCCCUUCAGUGCUGCAGCUAACGCAUUAAGUAAUCCGCCUGGGGAGUACGACCGCAAGGUUGAAACUCAAAAGAAUUGACGGGGGCCCGCACAAGCGGUGGAGCAUGUGGUUUAAUUCGAAGCUACGCGAAGAACCUUACCAGGUCUUGACAUCUUCUGACAGUCUAAGAGAUUAGAGGUUCCCUUCGGGGACAGAAUGACAGGUGGUGCAUGGUUGUCGUCAGCUCGUGUCGUGAGAUGUUGGGUUAAGUCCCGCAACGAGCGCAACCCUUAUUACUAGUUGCCAGCAUUAAGUUGGGCACUCUAGUGAGACUGCCGGUGACAAACCGGAGGAAGGUGGGGACGACGUCAAAUCAUCAUGCCCCUUAUGACCUGGGCUACACACGUGCUACAAUGGAUGGUACAACGAGUCGCGAGACCGCGAGGUUAAGCUAAUCUCUUAAAACCAUUCUCAGUUCGGACUGUAGGCUGCAACUCGCCUACACGAAGUCGGAAUCGCUAGUAAUCGCGGAUCAGCAUGCCGCGGUGAAUACGUUCCCGGGCCUUGUACACACCGCCCGUCACACCAUGAGAGU